Molecule: long non-coding RNA, 1846 nt
Filed under: Canis lupus familiaris (dog)
Lineage: Eukaryota; Metazoa; Chordata; Mammalia; Carnivora; Canidae
Description: lncRNA (ENSCAFG00040020836.1)
Source: RNAcentral
GCCCACUCCCCGCCCCAUCCCCCCCGCAUCCCGCCUUAGCCCCGAGCAGGCCCCCCCCCUCCUCCUCGCACCCGGCCCAGCCCCGUCCCUGCGGGGGUCCCUGUACCCACCAUUACACUGCGCCUCACUCGGCCGCGCCCCCCGGCCCUGCGCCCCCUCGGGACGGGCAGUCCGCGGGCGGCGCGGGCCACGUGCUGGGGUCUGUGCCGUCACUCAUUGUGCUGCAGCCAAUGGGCGGCGCCGGCGCCAGGCCGCCGCCCCGAGGUGCGCACCCCCACGCCCAGAGGGGCGCAGCAGCCGGGGGCCCAGGCACCGCCGGGGGAGGGAGCGCUGCGGCUAACGUCGGCUCCAGCGACCGCCAGAGGCCGGCGAGCACAUGGGGUGCGCGCGCAGUCGUCGACGGAGCAGCCCCCCCGCGGGCGCGACAGCCGAGCGGCGCUGCCCCCCCGCACUCCGAGACCGCGGGCCCAGGGGCGCUGGCCGCGAAUUCGGCACCGCGGGGCACACGCCCCAAGGCCUGCCUUACCCGGACGGGAGGACAAGCGGGGACGCCCAGCACUCAAGGCUGACGCUCAGAGGCACUCGGAGCUCCCCGAUCCUCAGCUCCCAGCGAGGCCAACCGUGGGUCCCAAUUCCGGGCUGCAGGGCCGCGCUCCUCCACGCCGGCCUCCCUUGCACGUGGGAAACGCAGAGAGCCUGGGAAUUCCACUGACGCUGGCAUCUGUGAGCCGCACAAUGAAACCCCGUGUCUGAUUUCCUGCCCUGAGCCCUUGAGGGAGAGGGAGUUAGAGGAUUUGGGGGGCUGCGGUGCAGGGGCGCUGCUGGUCCUACUGUGAGCCAAGCGGACAAGGAAGUACCCUGCGCUCGUCCCACCUCGCCCCGCUGUCGGGGCGCCCCGGGCUCCUCGCACACCCCGACCUCGCAGCCGUAGUGAGCACCACGGGCAGGGGAGCACCCGCCCGCCCCCGGCUCCCCGGGCCGGGCCUGGAGCCUGCCGCCUGGGGGUCCCUGCCGCCCGCCCGGGAGUCUCACCCCCCCAAGGGCAAGGGCGGAGCCGCCCCCAGGAUCCAUCCCGGCGGUCCGGCUCGGGGCCCACGCCGGUUCAGUCCCCAAUCAGGCGGCAGGAGUCAGCAUUCUAGAAACAGUCCCUCCGCGGAGGGAACUGCAGGCGAGCAGCAGGGUCCUCGGCCUGACGGCGGGGACUGCGGGGACGGGCGGCCCGGAGCCCCCCGGAGCCCCGGGGCUGUGGGAGGAACCUGAGGCCCAGGGCGAGGGCAGGAGGGGGGGCUGGCCUCCGAAGCGAGGGCCCUGGACUCGUGGGGGGACUGCUGUCGCCCGCGGGGAAGGAGGAAGCCACAUGACCCUCCAAGGGGGGACCCCGCGCAGGAGGGGGCUGCUGAGGCCCCGGCUUCCCGCCGCUGGGCCUGGCCUGGGCGCCCCACCUCUGCUGUACCCCCGCCCCCCGCUGCCAUUCCUGCUGCAAUGACUGUGGUUCUUAGGCCUCGUGUGCUUUCCCACACCUGCCUGGACGCUCCCCUGUGUUUGAAGGAAGCCCCGCACCCAGCCUGGGGCUGGGACGCCCCACCCCGACACCCAGGGGUGCGGCCCUGGCGACCGGCCGCCCAGCUGCGCCUGGCCUGGGCCCCUCGGAUGUCGGCUCUUCCCGUGACGCCUUGCCCUGGGUCCUCGGGUCCGUGUAGCUCAGGGGCUGGUGGCCACGUGCGGAGCGAGUGGCUUUCUACCCCAGUAGUGCAAACCGUGUGUAAAUACCUGUGAGCACCCUCCGUGAGCUCAGCAGGAUUCAAAGGUCAGUCCCUGAGGUGCAGCCCCCUACACACACGCGCAC